Molecule: ribosomal RNA, 651 nt
Filed under: uncultured bacterium
Lineage: Bacteria
Description: bacterial SSU rRNA
Rfam family: Bacterial small subunit ribosomal RNA
Source: RNAcentral
ACCUGCCUUUUACCGGGGGAUAACGAUGGGAAACCAUCGCUAAUACCGCAUGAGACAGCAGUCUGGCAUCAGGCAGCUGUUAAAGAUUCAUUGGUAAAAGAUGGGCCUGCGUCUGAUUAGGUAGUUGGCGGGGUAAGAGCCCACCAAGCCGAUGAUCAGUAGGGGUUCUGAGAGGAAGAUCCCCCACACUGGCACUGAGAUACGGGCCAGACUCCUACGGGAGGCAGCAGUAGGGAAUAUUGGGCAAUGGUCGCAAGACUGACCCAGCCACGCCGCGUGCAGGAAGAAGGCGCUCAGCGUUGUAAACUGCUUUUAUCCGGGAAGAAUAAUCACUACGGGUAGUGAGAUUGACGGUACCGGGUGAAUAAGCACCGGCUAACUCCGUGCCAGCAGCCGCGGUAAUACGGAGGGUGCAAGCGUUGUCCGGAUUUAUUGGGUUUAAAGGGUGCGUAGGCGGCGCCUUAAGUCCGGGGUGAAAGACGGCCGCUCAACGGUCGCAGUGCCCUGGAUACUGAGGUGCUUGAGUACAGGCGAGGCUGGUGGAACGGGUGGUGUAGCGGUGAAAUGCAUAGAUACCAUCCAGAACACCGAUUGCGAAGGCAGCCAGCCAGACUGUCACUGACGCUGAGGCACGAAAGCGCGGGGAGCAAA